Molecule: non-coding RNA, 1369 nt
Organism: Labrus bergylta (ballan wrasse)
Lineage: Eukaryota; Metazoa; Chordata; Actinopteri; Labriformes; Labridae
Source: RefSeq, a predicted model, not a curated record
AAAAUAAAAGUUUUGCACUUUGACCACAGGGGGGCAGUGUGUACUCACGGUUAUACUUUUAUCAACUCUGUUAAGAAUAACCUCCUCAAGCUAGAAACAAGAACAAGACUAUCGAGGAAGAGGAAUACAUCAUUUCAUACUUUUACCUCAAAUUAAUGGAGGUUGAGGCAUUUUAUCUCCCUCUUGAUCAACAAAGUUUCUGCCGCUAAUUCUAAACAUCUAUGCAAAGCUCACAGGAAAGUUUGUGUCCUCCUGAACAAUUCACCAAAACUAGGAAGCCGUUGUUCAUGCUGAUUAAUUAACUUUACCGAAUUAUAACAAAAGACUUUAAUCUUUUUCUUCUAUCAAACAGUGAAAGUUUGUAAAGGAACAUUAUCACAUCGCCUUACAGCUCCCUCUUGUUAACGCUAGCUGCACUUUAUGAAGCUUUUAGUUAAACUCUGCUGGGCUCGUCAUCAACCGGAACCGGAACACGUAACAUUUUUCAUCACUGGGCGCCAUCUAGUGGACAACCCGAAAGCUACAACAACAUAAGGGGGGGAAACAUGAUGGGAGUAUGACGGCUGCCACACGGCUGAUAUCAAGGUUGACGCUGGUCACUGGAGGAGGCAGUGGGAUCGGACGGGCGGUAUGUCAGCGUUUGGCCUCUGAGGGCGCCUCCGUGGUGGUGGCAGACAUCAGCGAGGAGUCUGCCAACGAGACCAUGGUGGGUCUGCAGAAUGACUCAGAGGACAGGGUCACAUGGCGGCUGUGGUGGAUGUGUCAUCAAAAGAGAGCGUGAAGAAGCUGGUCACCAGAAUACAGCCUCCCUCAGUGUGUGUGAACGCAGCAGGCAUCACGCAGGACCACUUCCUGCUCAACAUGGAGGAGGAUCACUUUGACAGAGUCAUCCAGGUCAACCUGAAGGUAUGAAGCAAGUUCAGCGUGUAAUCGAGUCUAUCAGGUUAACGUCAGAGGAUGACAUCACAAUCUAAUAACUAGGGAUGUGCCCGUUAGUCCACUUAAAGGUUGGAAGUCAUCACCCUCACUAGUCGGCACCAGAAUUACAAGUUACAAAUGAUUCAUAUUUUUAGAUGUUGGCCCUCGAUGCCGGUUCAUUUGUGCUCAAAUUGCAGCACUUCUUAAAGCACUCUUCUUCCAUCACUGCUGUUGAGACAUAACGUGGGUCGACUUUGUGAGAAGAAUCAGAAAGAAAGAAAUCAGUCUCUGUUGUCUUCAACAGGAAACAACCGAAGAUUCAAGUUUCUCGUUGUUGCACUUGAAGAAAAGAAUUCAUAAAAUGAUUCUCUCACAAAACUUCUAAAAAACUGCACGAGUGAACGCAAACAGACACAUUUCUACUCCGACUUUAUCUGGAAUUCUUUAGCCG